This 373-nucleotide ribosomal RNA is filed under the name uncultured bacterium. Its description in RNAcentral is "bacterial SSU rRNA". It matches the Rfam family "Bacterial small subunit ribosomal RNA", at positions 527 to 896 of the family's 1533-position model. The record is from RNAcentral.
GUAGGCACCAAGCGUUGUCCGGAUUUAUUGGGCGUAAAGAGCUCGUAGGCGGUUCGGUAAGUCGGGUGUGAAAACUCUGGGCUCAACCCAGAGAGGCCACCCGAUACUGCCGUGACUAGAGUGCGGUAGGGGAGUGGGGAAUUCCUGGUGUAGCGGUGAAAUGCGCAGAUAUCAGGAGGAACACCAGUGGCGAAGGCGCCACUCUGGGCCGUAACUGACGCUGAGGAGCGAAAGCGUGGGUAGCAAACAGGAUUAGAUACCCUGGUAGUCCACGCCGUAAACGUUGGGCACUAGGUGUGGGUCUCAACCAACGAGAUCCGCGCCGUCGCUAACGCAUUAAGUGCCCCGCCUGGGGAGUACGGCCGCAAGGCUA